Oryctolagus cuniculus (rabbit) is the source of this 3624-nucleotide non-coding RNA. The record is from RefSeq and is a predicted model, not a curated record. NCBI's taxonomy places the organism in Eukaryota, Metazoa, Chordata, Mammalia, Lagomorpha, Leporidae.
GGGCGGGUAAUGAAUAUUCAUGAGGGGGUGGGUGGGCCGAGAGCCAGCAAGGCCAGCACUCAGCAGGCCACUGCGACCAGAACUGGAACCUGCGAUGUGCUUGCCAGCAUGGAUGGCCGGCGUGGCAUAACCACAGCAUCCUCCUCUCGGGAACCUUGGCGACCCAGGACCGUUGACCGCGGGUCAGAGGGACGGCUGCACGCUUCCUUUGACGGCAACCCUUAUCCCAGCGUCAGGCUCAGAGCAGGGCCGGGUGCAGGUUGAAUCUCCAAUGAGCCUGUUUUAUAACUUUGCUGCUGUUGGCUCAAUCUUCACUCUGAAGGCAUUUGGGGAGGUGCAUUAGCAAGGAGCUGGAUUGGAAGUGGAACAGCUAGGACUCAAACCAGGACCCAUAGGGGAUGUUGGCACUGCAGGCAGCAGCUUUACUGGAUACACUACAGCUCCAGCUUCCUGAUGAUCCAUCUUAAUGUCGGUACUUCGUCUGAACUACUCUCUGGAUUCCCAUGUCUAUACCAACAUGACAGUAAAUACUGGAGAAAUUCCCACCUCUGCAUCUUUUGGCCCCACUCUAAAGUCAAGUCUCUAACAUCAUCUGAAUUUUGACUAUAGCCCAACAACUGCCUUGGAAAUCACUUGUGAUGUCAGAUGGAUGGACAAGCAAGCCAACUGGAGUCAUCCUCUAGGAGAAAGGACACUUUACCCAAAUGGCUAUAUUUCAUUCUACAGAAAAAUGCAACCUGAAACAAAGAACUGUCCUUCAGUCCCCUGGUUUAAGCAAAGGGCCCAUGUGCAUUAUUCCAGGUCUGCACCCCUUUUCAUUCUACUCACAUGUGAACUAUCCGUAUAGGGAAGUAGAAUGUGAGCCAGCAGUAACCAUGUUGGUAGAAGUGGUCAGUGUUUGCAUUAUACAACUGAUUUUAAUGACCUCAUAUUCAGUCAUAAAACUUCUGCUCUUAGCAAGGGACACACACGCACACAGCCAUAUUCACCCCUGUAUGAAAACUAUUAUAAACUGCUUAUUUAGGAGUAUCUUUUUGCAUUUAAUUAUAGCAGUUCUCUACUCUUAUAAAAAACCUCCAUAAAAAACUGAAAAAUGAGUCUAUCAGAAACUAUUUUAAAAAUUGAACUCUAAAUUUAAAAAUAAAAACUAAAAGGUGCCCUAUUUGUGCCUUUGAAUACUUCCUGACCUCUCUUCUGGCUUUCCCCUCCUCCCUCACCCCACAUCCCUUUUCUGCAUCAUUGCCCCAUAUGCCCCUGCAACUCUCUCCCUUUGGAGCAGUCUUGUAGACUGUCAUUCAAUCAUGUGAGGAAUGUUACUUAUUUCAAAAUGAUUCUGUAGGGCAUCCCUAAAUGGCAUCUAAUGGCAAUAAACAGGUCUUCUAACAUCCCUUAACUAUAUUUCUAGCAUAUGUGGAACCAGCAUUGUGGCAUAUUAAGUAAAGCCACUGUGUAUGACACUGGCAUCCCACAUGGGCUGUGGUUCAUGUCCCAGCUACCCUACUUCUUUCUAAUCCAGCUUCCAGGUAACGUAGCAGAGGAUAGCCCAAGUGGUUAUGUCCCUGCUCCUCCAUAGGAGACUUGGAUGAAUCUCUUGGUUCCUGCAUUGACCCAGCCCAGCCAUGGCUGUUGAGACCACUGAGGGAACAAACCAGUAGGUGGAAGAUUCAUUUCUCUCUCUUUCUCUAUCUCUAUCUCUGUGAGUGGUGGGGGUGCAGGUAUCUUUCCCUAUUUCUAACUCUGCCUUUCAAGUAAAUAAAUGAACAUUUAAAAAAAAAAAAAAAGAUCCACACUGUGGUGCAGCUAGUUAAAACCAUAGCCUGCAGAGCCACCAUCCCUAACAGGUACCAGUUCAUUUCCUGGUGGCUCCACUUCCCAUCCAGCUCCCUGCUAAUGGUCUGGAAAAGUAGCAGAGGAUAGUCCAACUUCUUGGGCUCCUGCAGCCACAUCAGGCAUCUGGCUUAUGGUUCCUGGCCUCAGUCUAGCACAGCCCAGGCUAUUACAGCUAUUUGGGAAGUGAACCAGCAGAUGGAACAUCAUAGAAUAAAAGAAAUAAUUAAAAUUAAAAAGAAACAAAAACAAAAAAAUUCUUGUCAUUCUGCCUUUCUGAUUUAAAAAAUUAUAAAAUGAAAAACUGAUCAUAAAAAUUAUGACUCAAGUUGACAUAUGAUGGAUCCAAGAAAGCUACUGCUGUCUAGUGCCCCUUAAUGCUUUCCUACAGAAAAAUCAUUUAUCUUGCUUUCCAAGUACUCAAAUAUCAAAAGCACCAAUGCUACCCAGUAUAACUCUGUUUAAGGCUGCUUCAGUAUUGAAGGAAAAGAAAAGGAGCAAGGGGCACAAACCCAGGAUGGUUUCAGGGUGACAGGAUCCUCAUUUUGCACCUUGGUUUCUAAUUGGAGAUGGUCACACAGGGAACUUCAGAUACUGCAGAGCUGCCCAAACACAGUCAAUCACAGACAUUGUCAUAGGCUCCCUGUGUGUACACUGGAAGGAGAACACAGAGCACUCCACAGGCAGAAUUGUGUUAAACAAAAUUUCUCUACCCUGCUGACCACAAUCUCAAGAAUGUCCUGAUCAAAAUGCCAUUUUGGUUCAAGAAAUAGACUAUCUGACCUUUUCUCCACUCAGAUAUAUUCCUGUGUGAAGAAUCCAUUUCCCUGGGGGCAUGGCACCACCACACAAUGCAAACCAGGCUAAUAGCAGAGCUAUGGCUUUGAUGCUCUGAGGAGAAUGGAUAACAUCUAUGAGAUCUGAAUGGACUAAAAAGCUCUAGGAUUCUGAUACAGAUUUGAAUUAAAAGAUAGAAACAUGCCGGCACCGCGGCUCAUUAGGCUAAUCCUCCGCCUUGCGGCGCUAGCACACCGGGUUCUAGUCCUGGUCGGGGUGCCGGAUUCUGUCCCGGUUGCCCCUCUUCCAGGCCAGCUCUCUGCUAUGGCCAGGGAGUGCAGUGGACGAUGGCCCAAGUGCUUGGGCCCUGCACCCCAUGGGAGACCAGGAGAAGCACCUGGCUCCUGCCUUCGGAUCAGUGCGGUGCACUGGCCACAGUGCACCGGCCGCGGCGGCCAUUGGAGGGUGAACCAAUAACAAAAGGAAGACCUUUCUCUCUGUCUCUCUCUCUCACUGUCCACUCUGCCUGUCAAAAAAAAAAAAAAAAAAAAAAAGAAACACAAAAAUCAACUGAAUCUGUUAGGUGAGAAGAAAGGAAUAUUGCUCUCCAGUGGUUACUUUGUAGCAUAUUAGCCUUCAGAGUUUCAUUUUCUACUUAUAUUUGAGGAAAUAAAGAUUGAGUCAGUUCCAUCCUAACACAUAGCAGCUUUAGCCACUGAUCACAUUACAGCUAGCCUUGAUCACUACCUCUCACUUAACAAAUGACAAACUAAAAUAGAACAUUCUAAUGGAUUGCUGACACCUGUUCAACAGGCAUCUCCAAGACUUUGACACACAAUUCCACAGAAGGGGAAUGGUGGGGCUGGUAUUGUGGCACAGUGGGUUAAGCCACCACAGCCUCAAAUGCUUGCAUCCCCUAUGAGUGCCAGUUUUUUCUCCCCAGAUGGGCACAACAGCCAGGGCUGAGUCAGGUGGAAAUCAGGAGCCAGGAGCUUCAUCCAGGUCUCCCACAUAGGUAGC